CGAGAAUGGCCGUUGUAGGCAGGGAGGCUGCGCUUGUUGUAUAGGGCUUCRAAAAGCUGAAGUGGGAUUCGGGAGAGUUACCUGUGUGUGGCUCCUCUCGGACUUUCUCCAGGGCCCUUUCUGCUGAAACAGAGCUGAAGAAGUUCAGGAUGAGGCAGAAUCUUUUUCAGGUCACUU
Molecule: long non-coding RNA, 177 nt
Filed under: Dromaius novaehollandiae (emu)
Lineage: Eukaryota; Metazoa; Chordata; Aves; Casuariiformes; Dromaiidae
Description: lncRNA (ENSDNVG00000013715.1)
Source: RNAcentral